Molecule: long non-coding RNA, 2008 nt
Organism: Peromyscus eremicus (cactus mouse)
Lineage: Eukaryota; Metazoa; Chordata; Mammalia; Rodentia; Cricetidae
Exons: 3
Source: RefSeq, a predicted model, not a curated record
AGAAUGUGUCCUUCUCUUUGAAAAGAUUGCCUUGUACUCAGUCGCUUACCGCCUGAACCUACAUGUAGCCUGUGCUGGCACUAAUGAAAGUGGUGACUGAGAUGAGACAUCUUGUUUUGCAGAAUGCUGUUAUGAUGUUCUCUGACUCCCUUACCAGUGCCCAUGGUCUCCUUGCUCUUUGAGGUGACAAGCAGAGAUCAGAACCCAAUGUCCAGCCUCCACCAUGGGCAUGUGAUCCCUGAGGACUCAGGGCAGCUACCUCCUUCCUGAUGCCUGGUGUUUCUGCAGCCUAGAGGAAGAGCCUGGGGACAGAAGACUGGACCACUUUACCCCUGACACCGUCUUCCUGUCUCUGUGACUCCUGACUUCUGGAGAGUCCAGCAGACUCAGUAUGAGAAACUUGGGAUGGCUUGAAGACCUGAGGACCUGGAGGUCGUGACUGCUCAGUAAAGCUCUUCCUUCCCCUGGGCACAUUCCAGAGGGCACAUGCCUCUGUGCAGAAUGAUGCUGCAGGAGAUGGCCUUUGACUCCAUAACUCACAUGUGUGGUCACACCCCACCCUGGAGAUGCCCAUCAACAUCCAGGAAGAUGAGGUAUUAUGGGUCAUCUGUGUGCCUGUGCCUCAGGGGCUGCUGUCUCUGUUGCACAGGGAGACACAGACUGGCUUCAAGCAUAACCCAGCUCCAGACUCUUGCUUUGAUUAAGUAUCCUAAGCCUCCACCCUCUCCCUAGUGCAGUGGUGCUUCAUGCUUCUGACUGGGGGUAGGGUAAUUGCAAAGUGCCAUCAAACAGGUGCUUAGUAUUUUCUGGGCCAGCAAUUUGUCUAAUUGUCCUAUUGGGGAUCAUCAUUAUGUAACAUAACGUAAGCUGUACCACCACAGUUCCUUCUGAUGUUGUUCUUGUUUGUUGUUGUUUGACAGUCUCACUAGAGAGCUCUGGCUGGCCUUGAACUUGCAACAGUUUUCCUGCCUCUGGCUCCCCAGUGCUAGGAUGAAAGAUGUUCACCACUAGACCUGGUAGCCCUUAACUCUUAAAGAGAAUACUUUCCCUUUGGAUUGUUUCUAUAUUCAAAUAGGCUUUAAAAAACAUAUAAAGAAAAAAUUAGGCCAGAACUCAGGACAAACAUCAAUUAUAAGGAAUGUACACUAUUCCCUGGCAAGAGAUGCUGCCCCAUGCCCCAAGUUGGUUGUCUAGUCUUGUGGGGUUGACUCCAUUCUAACAGAGCCAUUAGGCUUCCUUAAUAAAUCCAGUCAAGGUCUUACUGUAAGGUCAGCUGCUGAGAUUAGGCUGUACCCUACAGAAAGUGAGUCCAGAUUAUAUAUUAGAAUGAGUUAAGACUGUAGGGACACGGGGGGGAGUAUAUCAGAAUCAUAUCAAGAAAACCAGGCCCAAGAACUUACAGACAUGCCAGAGAGAAAAAGAGUGUAACUACCUUGACUGGACCCCAUACAAAGAUGGACGCCUAACAGCAGGAUGGCAUGACCCCACCAAGCUGAUACCCACUGUGUGUCAGGGACAGACAGACAGACAGAAACUCUUGACUCUCUUUGGAACUUCAGUUAGCUCUAGCCCCAGCUCUUGAUAUAGCAUGCUUGACUGCCUGCCCAUCCAUUUGUUCACUUGAUUUGGAUAUGAACCCACUGUAUACUGCUCUGUCUGUUCUGCUCUUUCACCUAACAGCUAUCUGAAUUCCACCCUAAGCCUUGCUCUCAAACUUAACUCUUAGAAGACCUCUCUAAACUAACAGCUUGCUUGCAGCUGGUCUGGGUUCAUGCCCAUUAUCUAUAACAAAUUUUAUUAACAUUUCUAUCAAUCUACUUUUGAACUCUGCUAUAGCCUCUUUAACUUGUAUCCAUUAUAUAAACCACAUAUAUGGAGAUUGAAGGUAUAUUUACUGUACACUGUAUGAUAUAAGAGUUAAUAUUAGUAAUUAAAAUUAGGUAAAAGGACCUGCAUCUGCCUGGGCCAGAAUACCAAGGUAGAUGUGAUUAUCUGGCAAAUUGCCACU